UUUGUGAUUAUUUAUAUUUAUAUUUGAUAGAUUUUGUAGCUGGAAACGGUUAUGUGUGAGUAGAUCAGCAUUAUUUUGUGCAACAAAUACAAAUACAAAUAACAACAAUCUACAAUGUACAAGCAAGGAAGAAAAAAACAAUCACGUGCGCUUAGAAGCUUGUUCGCCGUGUAGAGCCAUCGCUCAGCUUCGGCUCUGCUUCCGCCAUCGUCCAUGCUGGUUGUUAGAGUGCGAAUUGACGAAAGGGACGCGAAGUUGUAAGAGUUCUUUUUAUUUUUUAUGAUAAGAAUGGGAUGCGAGGCGAGGGUAGUUUGGUCAUUUGAGAUCGGAGAUAAACUUCGUGGAGUUUGUGUUGUAAGUUGAAGGAAAGGGAAGUAAGUACUCUUGUGAGUAGUGACACUGUUUGUUUAAUUUUGCUGUACCCUAUAUAAAAUAAGGAAUGAAGACAGAUGUCUUUAUC
Lupinus albus (white lupine) is the source of this 460-nucleotide non-coding RNA. The record is from the annotation of a GenBank genome assembly. NCBI's taxonomy places the organism in Eukaryota, Viridiplantae, Streptophyta, Magnoliopsida, Fabales, Fabaceae.